Molecule: ribosomal RNA, 468 nt
Filed under: uncultured bacterium
Lineage: Bacteria
Description: partial 16S ribosomal RNA
Rfam family: Bacterial small subunit ribosomal RNA
Source: RNAcentral
GACGAACGCUGGCGGCGUGCUUAACACAUGCAAGUCGAACGGAAAGGCCCUGCUUUUGUGGGGUUCUCGAGUGGCGAACGGGUGAGUAACACGUGAGUAACCUGCCCUUGACUUUGGGAUAACUUCAGGAAACUGGGGCUAAUACCGGAUAUGAGCUCCUGCUGCAUGGUGGGGGUUGGAAAGUUUCGGCGGUUGGGGAUGGACUCGCGGCUUAUCAGCUUGUUGGUGGGGUAGUGGCUUACCAAGGCUUUGACGGGUAGCCGGCCUGAGAGGGUGACCGGCCACAUUGGGACUGAGAUAGGGCCCAGACUCGUACGGGAGGCAGCAGUGGGGAAUAUUGCACAAUGGGCGGAAGCCUGAUGCAGCAACGCCGCGUGCGGGAUGACGGCCUUCGGGUUGUAAACCGCUUUCGCCUGUGACGAAGCGUGAGUGACGGUAAUGGGUAAAGAAGCACCGGCUAACUACGUG